RNAcentral lists this ribosomal RNA (468 nucleotides) under uncultured bacterium. RNAcentral's name for it is "partial 16S ribosomal RNA". It matches the Rfam family "Bacterial small subunit ribosomal RNA", at positions 28 to 507 of the family's 1533-position model. The record is from RNAcentral.
GACGAACGCUGGCGGCGUGCUUAACACAUGCAAGUCGAACGGAAAGGCCCGGCUUUUGUUGGGUUCUCGAGUGGCGAACGGGUGAGUAACACGUGAGUAACCUGCCCUUGACUUUGUGAUAACUUCAGGGAACUGGGGCUAAUACCGGAGAGGAUCUCCUGCUGCAUGGGGGGGGUUGGAAAAUUUCGGUGUUUGGGGAUGGUAUCGAGGGUUAUCAGCUUGUUUGUGGGGUAGUUGCUUACCAAGGCUUUGAAGGGUAGCCGGCCUGAGAGGGUGACCGGCCACCUUGGGACUGCGAUAGGGACCAGAAUCCAACGGGACGCAGCGGUGGGGAAUAUUGCACAAUGGGGGGACGCCUGAUGCAGCAACGCCGCGUGCGGGAUGACGGCCUUCGGGUUGUAAACAGCUUUCGACUGUGCCGAAGAGUGAGUGACGGUAAUGGGUAAAGAAGCACCGGCUAACUACGUG